GACGAACGCUGGCGGCGUGCCUAAUACAUGCAAGUAGAACGCUGAAGGAGGAGCUUGCUUCUCUGGAUGAGUUGCGAACGGGUGAGUAACGCGUAGGUAACCUGCCUGGUAGCGGGGGAUAACUAUUGGAAACGAUAGCUAAUACCGCAUAAUAGUAGAUGUCGCAUGACAUUUGCUUAAAAGGUGCAAUUGCAUCACUACAAGAUGGACCUGCGUUGUAUUAGCUAGUUGGGGAGGUAACGGCACACCAAGGCAACUAUACAUAGCCGACCUGAGAGGGUGAUUGGCCACACUGGGACUGAGACACGGCCCAGACUCCUGCGGGAGGCAGCAGUAGGGAAUCUUCGGCAAUGGACGGAAGUCUGACCGAGCAACGCCGCGUGAGUGAAGAAGGUGUUCGGAUCGUAAAGCUCUGUUGGAAGAGAAGAACGAGUGUGAGAGUGGAAAGUACACACUGUGACGGUAUCAUACCAGAAAGGGACGGCUAACUACGU
Molecule: ribosomal RNA, 494 nt
Filed under: uncultured bacterium
Lineage: Bacteria
Description: partial 16S ribosomal RNA
Rfam family: Bacterial small subunit ribosomal RNA
Source: RNAcentral